RNAcentral lists this ribosomal RNA (253 nucleotides) under uncultured bacterium. RNAcentral's name for it is "partial 16S ribosomal RNA". It matches the Rfam family "Bacterial small subunit ribosomal RNA", at positions 524 to 776 of the family's 1533-position model. The record is from RNAcentral.
GACAGAGGGUGCAAACGUUGUUCGGAAUCACUGGGCGUAAAGCGCGUGUAGGCGGCGAUGUAAGUCGGAUGUGAAAUCCCGCGGCUCAACCGUGGAAGUGCACCCGAAACUGCAUCGCUAGAGUAUCGGAGAGGAAGGUGGAAUGCUUGGUGUAGAGGUGAAAUUCGUAGAUAUCAAGCGGAACACCGGUGGCGAAGGCGGCCUUCUGGACGAUAACUGACGCUGAGACGCGAAAGCGUGGGUAGCAAACAGG